RNAcentral lists this ribosomal RNA (297 nucleotides) under uncultured bacterium. RNAcentral describes it as "partial 16S ribosomal RNA". It matches the Rfam family "Bacterial small subunit ribosomal RNA", at positions 335 to 629 of the family's 1533-position model. The record is from RNAcentral.
UAGCCUACGGGAGGCAGCAGUGAGGAAUAUUGGUCAAUGGGCGGGAGCCUGAACCAGCCAAGUCGCGUGAGGGAAGACGGUCCUAUGGAUUGUAAACCUCUUUAGGCGGGGAGCAAUGCCGGGCACGUGUGCCUGGAGGGAGAGUACCCGCAGAAUAAGCAUCGGCUAACUCCGUGCCAGCAGCCGCGGUAAUACGGAGGAUGCGAGCGUUAUCCGGCUUUAUUGGGUUUAAAGGGUGCGUAGGCGGCUUUUUAAGUCAGCGGACAAAUGUCCGGGCUCAACCCGGGCCGGCCGUUG